UCCCAAUUUAUUCAUAUUAAAUGUGUCACAUGUCCAAAUUGCACCAAAUUUCAACAGUGCACUCCCUUGUAUCCCCAGCAAUACACCUACCAAGUGUUAAAUGGAUCAGAUGAACGGUUCUCAAGAUAUGCAAAGGACAAACAUACAUACAGACAGACAGAGAGACAGAGAUUCCUUGUUUCAUAUAGAGAGAUUUAAAUGGAAUUUCUAGGAAACAGGGUUGUGUGUGUGCAAAACUGACAUUAGGACCUUGGGAUGGCACUAAAGGAAAGCUUGUAUUCCAAAAUGCAAAUGGGGCCUCAUACAUACAUGUAGAUUUGAUAAAUGUCAAGAUAAUUAGUUUAUGAUGUUUCUGGUGUCACCUACGGACAUGGUCUCACCAAUCUGAUCACGUUUUCUAUGUGCAUUUACACCUUGCAUUAACGUGUUUUUCCUUAUCCAGAUAUCCAGAUAACAGAGUGCAUGUUGAUGCCUAGUGUAAAUUUUGUUUUUAUUGCUGGUAGGUGUAGUGUGAGCCUGUCUAUAUUUGUUGGCUCUGUGAUAGAGGGUGUACCCACAGUUUACCCCACCUCUCGCCCAGUGUGAGUUGGGAUAGGAGACCCAUGAGCCGCAAACCCUGCACGCAAUAAGCAGUUAUAGAUCAUGAACACAUUUAUUUAUCAAAAUUCUCAGAGUAGAAAAUCAGUCCUAACUGGAAAUCACUGCUCUCGCACAAUGAAUUAAUUUAUAUCAUUUGCAUAUAUGCAGCAGUUAGACAAAAAUGUGAGGGAUGCACUGAUAUGAAAAUUCUCCAAAAAGCCGAAAUCACAGGUUUCACAUACAAAUCUUAGUUGUGUGCACAGGUGUACAGUCCAUACUAUCACAUGAUAGUCAGUUAUAUCUUGGAUUAGUGUGCAGUCAAAGUUAUAAAAACCAUCUCCACACUCAGAGCAGUAGGUCUCCUGCAGCCAGUUUCGUGGUAACUCCAGAAAAUACUUUGCAGACUGGUAGCAAAGUUUUUACAUGCAGGCAAAAUUAAGAGUAUUACAUGUACCUGGCAACAACAGAGUGGUAUUAGGUCUCCAACAGCCAGUUUUGCAGUAACAAGCAAAACAGAAUUGUUUUGCAAGCUACACCAUGAGGAUUACCUAUAAACCUAAAAUUGAGCUAGCAAAGUCACAGAUAGUGUGGUGUACUCAACAAAUUACUUCACGCAAAUUACAACCAACCACUAUCAAAACAAAGCAUUUGUUGUGGUAGUUGGGAGUUCAUCUCACCAUACAAAAACAUACAACACACUUUUACCUAUAAAAACAAAGUUAUAGAAGGUAUUAGAGCUUAUUACAUAUCUAAUGUUACCAUGAAGAUGGGAUAUAGCAGACUGGUAGCAGAAUUUGGGGCACUCACCCCUACUUCUGGCGCCAGUGCUCAGAGGGAUUCCUGAAGACAAAAUCCUCUCAUCCUCUGGUCUAUUGUGCAUCUAUUGUGAGGUCCUUGACAUGAGAAAGUUUGCAACAACAGGGUCUCACCAUCUGUUCCACACAUAUACAAAAAACUACUUAUCGUUACUUAUCUACCCAUAGGAUGAUCUGUUACUAUUUACUACUUUUAAAGAGCUGUAGCCUACUCGACGCCUGAACUACAGCCAUAGAGAAUGAAGCCAUUUCGUCUAUCACGGAGAUUCCAACAGUAAUUGAAUUUGUGUUACCUGCUUACGACUUAGAGGGUUGGACAAUGUUCGCACCAGGGUUAUCUGCAGUGCAUUUGGAUCAAAGCGCAACGGUCCCAGUCAACCCAGUGGUAAACAACAACAGUCCAAUCCCUGCAGACAGCUGCGGGGUAAUUCAUCCAACUUAAGAACAGAGGUUGCCAACUCCUUUAACUCUACCAGCUGACCCUCGGAGCCUGGUUAACCCAGUAGUAAACAAGGACACUCCAAACCAAGUGGACAGCUCUGAUGCAAUUCCACGGGUUGAAGAACAAAGGUUGCCUGCUCCUGUAAGUCAGCCAGCGGCCAGUCAGAGGCUGUGGAGCAGGUCUCAUCCAGGGGGGAGACAAAACACAGAUAGCAGCUGCAACAGCAGCAGCUCCAAGAGAUCACACAGAUCAGCCAGUGGUGAGGAAGCAGGAGGCAGUUGAAUAGACACCACUGCUGAUGCAGAAGAUGUUACGACGAACACAGGACAUCCUCUUUCUGAUGAGUGAACCAUAUUGGGUCAUGGCCAGGACUUUAUCAGUUUGUAGCAGUCGUAGUUUGUGACAUACGAUAUGCAAGAUAUUUUCUGUAUGUACUGAUUUGUAAAAACUUGUGUAAUCAGGUGUGACAUUUUUAUGGCAUCAUGGUGAAAAUUCUAAGGUUUUAUCAGACGACCUAUGACAAAAUGGUUUAAAUGAAGUUGAAGUGCCAGGAUAGUUACAGCAUCUA
Long non-coding RNA from Thunnus maccoyii (southern bluefin tuna), 2404 nucleotides. RefSeq lists it as uncharacterized. Lineage: Eukaryota; Metazoa; Chordata; Actinopteri; Scombriformes; Scombridae. The transcript is spliced from 4 exons. The record is from RefSeq and is a predicted model, not a curated record.